CUCACCGUCAGCAUCAGUCUCCCUGGCAACACAGUGUUUUUGACAAGUCAGGCUUCUGUCCUAUUAGUUUCCUGUCGGUUGCUUAGUAACCGCCCAGGGCUCGUUCUCAGUCACUGUGUGUGAGCCAGCAUUCGGGGACUCGAUCCUGGAACAGGGCGUCCCUCUGCUUCGCUCUGCACCGAAGUGCUUUGCCCUGCGCCGGUGGGAGGCGGUGGGAGGGGCACAUCCUGUCCACCCCGCGACGGCAGAUGGCGGAGAGCCAGCAGCCUGGGGUCCGCUUGAAGGUCAGGCUCCCCGUCUGUCCCCAUCUUCCCUUUUUGCCAAGUCCCCUGCUGUCCCUGGGGCUCGGCCCUGUGGGGAGACACCCCUGCAAGGCUCCUGGUCCCCAGGCUGCCCCAUAGACUGGAUGGCACGCUAGAGGGAGACAGGUGUCCUGAACACCAAGCCAGCGUUUGGCUCCGCUCUGUCCACAGACGGUGGCCAGCUGCAGGGUAUCACUGGAGUAUACUGGAGCACAGCUGGUCACUAGAGUGACACCGUGAAGCCGAACGGAAUAAAGACAUCUAUCUACGCGCAGACCGGUCCUCGGCCAUCCGUGGGGAAGGAAGAGCUCUUGGAACGUGAGGCGUCCUUACGCGGGAGUCCUCAAGUGGGUUUGAAGCAGCUAAGUGUCCGGGGAGGAACUGGGGAAGGCGUCGGGGCCAGAGAACACGGCACGGUAGGACGCAGAGGGCACCGGCCCCGGGGGUCACGCCCCACUUUUGACUCCCCCGGGUUAUCAUAUCCUGCCGAUGACUCACGUGUUUUUGCUCAUCUGAAAGGUAAAGCUAUAGGAGGUUGUGAGUAUUAAGUGAGAAGAUGUGUACGGAAACACAGUGGAAAAUUCCAAGGACCAGUGGAACUGUGGCAUUCCUGUUACAUAAUAAUAGAAAGUCUCCACUGGUCGAAGUACCUAAUCCACUCAACAUCCCGGACGAAACACACGCUACCACGGGGCUUCUACGCUUGCAAAAACUGUCGCAUGUGGGUCAUCAAUGAAUUACUAUUCCGGUAGGGGAAGGUGGCUUCCCUCCAGGGCUCUCCAGAGAGAC
This 1091-nucleotide long non-coding RNA is filed under the name Felis catus (domestic cat). RNAcentral describes it as "lncRNA (ENSFCAG00000046964.1)". The record is from RNAcentral. Lineage: Eukaryota; Metazoa; Chordata; Mammalia; Carnivora; Felidae.